Molecule: small RNA, 572 nt
Filed under: Pan troglodytes (chimpanzee)
Lineage: Eukaryota; Metazoa; Chordata; Mammalia; Primates; Hominidae
Description: retained intron
Source: RNAcentral
AAAAGGAGGGGCGUACGCGGGCAAGAUGGAGGCGACUACGGCUGGUGUGGGCCGGCUAGAGGAAGAGGCGUUGCGGCGAAAGGAACGGCUGAAGGCCCUACGGGAGAAAACCGGGCGCAAGGACAAGGAAGAUGGGGAGCCAAAGACCAAGCAUCUCAGAGAAGAGGAGGAAGAAGGCGAGAAGCACAGGUAAUGCCCGUGUGCAGCUCCAGGGUCUGCUCUCUCCUCCAGCACUCAUCGGUCUCCCAGUCUCUGGGUCCUCCCAACUCUGUUCAGUGUCUGCCCUGUUCCCUCCCCUCUUCUUUCUGCCCAUGGCUGUCCUGUUCAGACCUUAAAAUCUCAACAUCUCAGAAGGCCCUUGUCGAGGCUUUCUCUGCCUCCUUUCCCUCAUUUUCCAUUUGGCUGUUACUCAGCCCCCAGCAUUUUCUUUCUAGCCCUUACAUUAUGCCUUUUUACCCUUCUCAUACACCUUUCGUGGCGUGGUUCUCCAUUGCCUGCUGAGUAAGUGCCCCUUCUGCACUUGGCAUGUGAAGCUCUGCCUGGACCAUCUAGCCUCAUCCAACCUCCUCUGG